This 3383-nucleotide long non-coding RNA is filed under the name Sorghum bicolor (sorghum). RNAcentral describes it as "long non-coding RNA (SBIC_LNC000827)". The record is from RNAcentral. Lineage: Eukaryota; Viridiplantae; Streptophyta; Magnoliopsida; Poales; Poaceae.
CACAACCGCUAAGAAAGGAAAGCUUCCACAAGGUGAUAUUGUACCAUCACUCUUCAAGCAAGGUAACAUCUUAAGGUACUUGACUAUCACUUUUAUAAGCUUCUCCUUGGUUCUAGCGUUCAUAUAAAUAAAAGAGACAAACAUGUAUGAUUUACAAAUCUAGAUUAACCAACCCAACUGAUUCAACAUGUUUACUUCUUUAAUCCUUGUUCUUAGUACUACCUCCAUGAUCCCACACUCCUAAUCAUAUGAGCUAAAAUGUUACACAUUCAAUCAUUGAGAGAUAUAAAGAAAAAGACAUAUACAUAGAUAGAUUAUCUUUCCAUAAGGUUGAGCGAUCUGAUCUGACAAAUGUUAUAAGUGCUACACUCAUGAACUUUUCAUCCAUCAACUUUGUCUUGCUCACUAUGCUUAGGGUUAGAGAAGAACAAAUACACUUUAGGUUCUGUUGGUGUUUUCCACCAACAGGACCCAUGCACUUGAUCUCUGCCUUGUCUCUAUGAGCAGGUACACUUUGAGCAAAACACGGAGGAGUUUUAUAACUAUCAGACUCUACCUAGUGAAGGACCUGGAUCUACGAGCACAAACACACUGAGCAGGAUACUGCCAACGCCACUGCUGGGCAAACGAAGAGGUGCAGACUCCAAGGUCCGCACCUGAAUCAAAUGACGCACCUGAAGAAUGAACACGGUGAGAAGUCUUGUUAAGAAGACUUAAAACGCACCUGAAUCAGUAGUUAUCCAUAUUUAUCCUUUCUGCAUUCCCCUUUCUCUUUAAUUAUUUACUUUCCUUAAAUAGAUUAUUAGUUAAUCAUGCUAUCUUCAAAAGAAAAUUAAAAUGUUAAAAAAUACUAAGCCCCAUGUGAGUAUACGAGUGGCAUAAAACCCAUAAGUACCUUCACUGUGGUGGCAUAAAAAUAAAAUAAAUAUUUCUUUUCUGCUUUAUAAAAUAAAAAUAUAAAAAAACAGGGAGUAAUAUUUAUUGAGGAAGCUCAACAUGAUGAAGGCUAGAUAUUUAUGCUAACACUUAAUUAGUUCCACAAGCUUUGUUGUCUAUUUGAGCUCCACAGAAUUUAAGAAUCAAGAAGACUAGCAGACGGAGGACAUUCUAAUCGCUGUCAGAAUGCUGCUGACUUUCAAAUACACCUCUACCACCUGCUAGCCACAUCAAGAGAAAUUACGUCAAAAUUCAGCUUGGGGGAGAGCACCCCCAUUUAUCUCGCUAAGUAUUUCUACCUAUCUUUAUACUUAUAUUAUAUUAGAAUAUUAAAAUACAUAAACUAUGAAAAACCAAAUAAAGAUUUUGUGCUUAUAUAUAUAUGUUUUGCUUAGUGUGUUUUAAUAAAUAAAGUGGCUAUGCUAAUCUGAAUCUUAAUAAUAAAACUCUAGCAUGGAUAUGAUGAAUAAUUGCUCUACCUAAUUUGCAAAUUUGAAGUUCUUUCUCAAGUUUAGACAUAACUGUUAUAAUUUAAAGCUUGCUCUAGAUCUAAACUUGUGCGAUGAAAACUUGAUCUGAAAUCUAAGUUGUUAACGGAUAUGAUAUGGGAAGGUUGAGCUGCUGUUUAUCUGUUCCUUGAGAUGCUAGAAUUCUGGAGAAUUUUAUCUUUGAAAAAUCUUUAAAAUAUUGCAUGAUGAGUUCCUGUAUGAUGAGAGUUUAAAUUCCUACCACAGCCAUAUAUAUACAUGCUUGCUAGACUUUGAGCCACACAUUUACUAUUUACUGCUUAUGAGCAUUGAGUGUGGUCAAGCUGUGUAGACCCUUAGGAGCUUGUCAUGUGGUUAAAUCAAGAUUUCACUUGCACAUUCACUCAUAUAUGCUACUUCUACUCCAGAAGUACCAUCCACAUAUAUCCACUCAUUUCCAUCUCCAGAACCACCCAAAAAUAUUCUACUCCUAAUCCGGGAGAGAAUAACCAAAAAUAUUUCUGUUUUUCCUUGUGAAAUAAAUGCUCAAGUUAUCUUGCUACUACCACUUGCUAUAUUAUCUCAAGAGAUGAGUGCUCUGAAAAAAAAAGAAAAGAGAAGAAAAGAAGAAAAAAAUACGAGAAAAUAAAAAGGGGCAAGUGCCUGGAACCUCGAAAGAAAGAAAAAGUGAGACGAGAGGUAAAAAUGGACAAGUGUCCGACAGUAGAAUUAGGGGUACAAGAUACCCACUUGAGAGGAAAGAAAAAGAAGAGCAUCUCAUUCUCCUCAUAAAGUUUCAAAAAGCAAGGAAGGUAUGUAUCCCCUCAAAAGAGCAAAAGGAGAAUUAGACUUUCACCAUUGUUAUCACCAUCAUCACCAUACACCAUUCAUUCGCCACACAUGCACAUCUUGAUUUGGCUUAUUGAUUUGUUUCUUUGGAUCCAUGGUUUGACUAUACAAUAAAUGUCUUGUAAGUAUGUAUACUUUAUCUCCCACCUAUGAGCUCCAGAUAUUAAAGCCUUAUUAGAGUAGGGUGAGAGAGAAGGCAUGUACCAUCACUACCUUGGUAAGGAUCCAGAAAUACCACAAAAGAGAGAUUUAGAGAGUCAUACAAGGAAUCUCUGAGUUUUAUUUGAAAAUCUACAAAAACUCCAGAGCUAUAGCUGAUCAAGAAUAAGAGACAUGGCACUUGGCUAGACUGUUCUAUCUUUUAACUACUCAAGACAGAAGUGACGGUUAUAAGUCCCAUGGUGAAAGGUAAAGUAAGUAUGUUUUAGUUCUUGACAGUUUAAUCUAACUCAGAGAUGAGAUCUUAUUUAAAAGCAUGUGUACCGUCAAAUUUUUAAGAUAUUGCAACAACUUCUGAUCCAUUGCUGAGUCUAUCCUUGCUCAGGGACGAGCAAGAGGUAAGCUUGGGGGGUUUGUUGACGGUCCUUAAGUAUCAAAUUUAAUUAUCAAAUAAACAAAGAAAAGGAUCCAAAUGAAAUCAACAUCUAGACAUAGGGUUUUAUCUGACAGAAUUUCACGAGUUUUGGUGUUUGUCUAUUUCUGCAGGGGGUUAUCAGGAAAUACGGAAGAAAGGCCCACACGUCGGGAUUACAUAGAGAUAUUAACGUGCCGUGCAAUUAUCUUACAUCUAGAAGACUCCAGAAGCCACGGGAAGGAAGCGGAGGCCGAACGGGGCCAGAGGCAGGGCGCCCGCCCUCCUGCCCUGGGCGCCCGCCCUGACUUGGAGCCCAAUCAGGACUCUUUCUCUCGGGAGAUCUCCACCGACCUAAAGGAUCAAGAAUAACUAUUCAAUCAAUGUCGGUUUGAUCCGACGGCCUAGGUUCACUUGAGGGGACUAUAUAACCAGACCCCCUGGCCCUGGAGGAGGCACCCCUUGAUUAUUAUUCAUUAUUCAUAGACAGAGCAAAAGCUAGGGUUUAGAGAUGAGAGCUCUCCUCUCUUCUCUAAACUAGAGUAGAUCUAGAUAGUAGC